GCAUAUCAAUAAGCGGAGGAAAAGAAACCAACAGGGAUUGCCCCAGUAACGGCGAGUGAAGCGGCAACAGCUCAAAUUUGAAAUCUGGCCCCCGGGCCCGAGUUGUAAUUUGCAGAGGAUGCUUUUGGCGCGGUGCCUUCCGAGUUCCCUGGAACGGGACGCCAUAGAGGGUGAGAGCCCCGUACGGUUGGACACCAAGCCUAUGUAAAGCUCCUUCGACGAGUCGAGUAGUUUGGGAAUGCUGCUCAAAAUGGGAGGUAUAUUUCUUCUAAAGCUAAAUACCGGCCAGAGACCGAUAGCGCACAAGUAGAGUGAUCGAAAGAUGAAAAGCACUUUGAAAAGAGGGUUAAACAGCACGUGAAAUUGUUAAAAGGGAAGCGCUUGUGACCAGACUUGCGCCCGGUGAAUCACCCAGCCCUCGCGGCUGGGGCACUUUGCCGGCUCAGGCCAGCAUCAGCUCGCCGUCGGGGACAAAAGCUUCGGGAACGUAGCUCUCUUCGGGGAGUGUUAUAGCCCGUUGCAUAAUACCCUUCGGCGGGCUGAGGUACGCGCUCCGCAAGGAUGCUGGCGUAAUGGUCAUCAGCGACCCGUCUUGAAACACGGACCAAGGAGUCAACCUUAUAUGCGAGUGUUUGGGUGUCAAACCCCUACGCGUAAUGAAAGUGAACGCAGGUGAGAGCUUCGGCGCAUCAUCGACCGAUCCUGAUGUUCUCGGAUGGAUUUGAGUAAGAGCAUAUAGGGUUGGACCCGAAAGAAGGUGAACUAUGCGUGUAUAGGGUGAAGCCAGAGGAAACUCUGGUGGAGGCUCGCAGCGGUUCUGACGUGCAAAUCGAUCGUCAAAUAUGCGCAUGGGGGCGAAAGACUAAUCGAACCUUCUAGUAGCUGGUUUCCGCCGAA
This 897-nucleotide ribosomal RNA is filed under the name Colletotrichum euphorbiae. Its description in RNAcentral is "eukaryotic LSU rRNA". It matches the Rfam family "Eukaryotic large subunit ribosomal RNA", at positions 38 to 965 of the family's 3401-position model. The record is from RNAcentral. Lineage: Eukaryota; Fungi; Ascomycota; Sordariomycetes; Glomerellales; Glomerellaceae.